This is a long non-coding RNA of Tigriopus californicus, 1046 nucleotides long. RefSeq lists it as uncharacterized. The record is from RefSeq and is a predicted model, not a curated record. The transcript is spliced from 3 exons. NCBI's taxonomy places the organism in Eukaryota, Metazoa, Arthropoda, Copepoda, Harpacticoida, Harpacticidae.
CACUCAAGAUGAGCUGGGUCGGAGUUCGAGUUCCUUCCACCUAAUUAAAUUCCAUUCUCAAAGGUCGAGCCGAACGUGCUAGUCGGAAUUUUGAUCGCCAUUAAUCCAGAUUCCUCCUCACCGAGGAGACAUUGGGCGGAAGCGAGCAGACCCAACUUUUUGUGUGAUGGAACCUGUUCAUGGAAGCACAUGAUUAAAGUCCGGUGACCGCGUUUUCCAGUCUUAUAUGGUCACUUUAUCUCGUAGCUACUACCCAAAGCGAGGUGUUAUUCAUGUUCAGAAGUGGAACAACGGACUUAGUUGGGAAACUCCAUGAGUUCUCCAGAAUUGAGGCCGACGGUCUCAUCCUUGCUUCAUUUUCGUGCUUUCCAGAUAACUAUCCUGAAGGAACUUGACAGUUACGAGUCCAACAUCGAUGAAUAAUAAUGAGCUCCCGAUGUGGUAUCUACUAACCAUUGCCCAAUGGUUAAAAGGAUCGUUUCACCUGAGAGUGAUUAAGUUGAAGAGCGUGAACAUUUAUUUACUCACCAUCCAUGCGAUGCCUCUCGUCCCAAAGAGAGUAAGUUGAAUUGGGGCCCAUGCAAGAACAAGAAUCCCCUGCACAAGUGCAAAUGAGAUCUUGCAUGUCUUGGGGUAGAAUCCCCAAACCAGGCCCUUCGGAUGACCCACUUAGUCGAGGCAUGCCGUACACGUGAGCUAAAAAGUUUGAUACUAACCGUUAUAUUUGCUUGGUUUGAUUGCAUUUGUCAUCCUUGCUUUUAUUACCUGGGUCGACACAAUCUUGAGGGCACAGGCCAGACCUUGCUUCCAAAAAGUCGCAUCUCAGAUCUGGACAUGUCACUGGAUCAAUGGAACACGUGGAGUAGCUUGACCCGUUCUCUCUACAAUCGAGGAAUUCUAUCUGGGCAUCAUUUUCCUGGAAUUGAAAAUACCUCUGGGCGAUGGUUUCAAAUUUAAUGGUGGAUUGAGUUCGGCAGAAAAAGUAGCGUCACAUUUGAAUUGAAUAAAUCAUUUAGAUUUGUUGGCCAGUCAGAGAAUGAAUAUAA